Panicum virgatum (switchgrass) is the source of this 2585-nucleotide RNA transcript. It is a transcript of the gene named fanconi-associated nuclease 1 homolog, with no coding region annotated. The record is from RefSeq and is a predicted model, not a curated record. The transcript has 9 exons. NCBI's taxonomy places the organism in Eukaryota, Viridiplantae, Streptophyta, Magnoliopsida, Poales, Poaceae.
CGACGCGACCACCGACCAGUUCGCUCCAGCAGCCCUCGCCUCGCGCCGCACCAGCCCAAGGAAAGGAGCGCCCAUUCCUUCCCGCUCCCGCCCCCCGGUCGCGCGCCGCCACCUCUGCGCCUCCCCAGCGGCCAUGCUCACCGGGCGGGAGAGCCUGGUCCGCCUCAUCGGCCGGCGCCGCCGCUCCCCUCUCCCGGCCUCGCUCGCCGCCGUCCUAUCCCCUUCCUCACCGUUCCCUGCCGCAUCCACCGCUCAGGUUGAAAGUCAAACCCCGCCGCCCCGAACCCCGUUCGCUGGAUAUUGACAUUGAGGGCUCAAAGGCUGGAGCUUCUGUCUCAUCACCUGGUUGUUUGAAUGGCUCACUUGGCAUUUCUAAGAUGAUUGGUACCUAUGUACCUUCAAAUACUCUCUUGCCAAAUGUUAAGGAUGCUGUAAGUAACGUUCCAGUGGAACCCUGCUCUUCUAGCAUGCUUCCAACAGUGGCAACCUCUUGCAGUAUUGAUGCAUGUGCAGAAUUGGAUUCUAGCACCAUUAUAGCAGUUGACACCGUCAUAGUUGGCCGGAGGUUCCAUGAGAACAUUGAAUUGAGAGAAGAUGCAGGCAUUACUUUUCAGAGAGAUCCUCAGAAUGCUAAGGACUCUGAUGCUAUAAAGGUUCUUUAUGCAGCGUCUGAAUGCAAGGAGAUGCUUGGAUAUUUGCCUCGAGAGCUUGCUAAAGUUUUGGCUCCUCUAAUGGACAGACAGUAUGUUGAAUGCGAGGGAUAUGUGGUUGGUUUGCCUGAACAACAGCUUGGCAAUGUUCCCAUCCAGAUUACUGUCCAGAAAUAUCAGAGAAAUGAUGAUCCAAAGUAUUUGCAAUCCUUAUGGGAAAAGUUUAUCAGCACCAUUAAAAGUGAAAAUUUUCAGCAACCUACAAGUGCAAGAUACCAGAAAAAUUUUAAUUUGAUGAUAUCGGAUGUCAUUGCCAACCAUACGCAUGUUUUUAGUGAUAUAGAGAAAUCAUUUUUAGCUUCUUUUAAGUCGUUGUCAGAUGACGGGCAAUGCCUUUUUGUAAGGAUUUACACUCGAAAAGGGCCAUGGUUCCGAAAGAGCACCAUCUCGUAUCGUGAGAUAUUAGAUCAGGAGCAUGCCGCAAUGGAGCUGAAUUUGGCAGGUUAUAUCGACAUGCUUUCUUGCACAGUUGAUUCAUCAGAAUAUGAUAUGGAGGAGAUUCUUGAUGUUUUAAGUGUUCCUGAAAUAAAAGAAAUUCUAAAGGAGUUUCAGAAGGUUUACAAUCCCGUCUUCAAUACCUUUUAUCAUCACUACCCGUACACUGUUUGCCUCUUGAUUAAAUAGUCAUAUCCAGGAUUUCUGAAGUGGCAUUCUUAUGCUAUUAGCCUAUUACUUAGGGAUCAUCAAGUUCUUUCUCCAGAAAGCAUCUUGGCCAUUUUGUUAUUCUCUGGGGAUCUGGACUUCAUGCCAACUGAAAUUUAUAGGUAUGAAGAUGCAAUCAGGAUUCUAAAGAUACUACUCAGUAAAAUUGCUUGUGAUAGACGGCGAGGGUAUUGGACACUGAGGCUGUCUGUUGAUUUGGAGCAUAUGGGUCGUCCAAAUGAGAGCCUUUCCAUAGCUGGAGGAGGAGUAAUUGAUCCAUGGGUUCGUGCUGGUUCAAAGUUCGCGCUGCAAAGGAGAGUGCUGCGUUUAAGCAAACCUCCACGAUGCUGGAAAAUUCCCAGUUAUGCCGAUUAUGUCAAAAGAAAUAUAAAAGAGGUGAAUAUUGAAGGAAGGCCAUUAAAUUGUGAGACAGGAACAAAGAAUUUAUUUUAUGGUUAUGAUGGGGAACUUUGUGGGGUUGAGCAGUUGGCUUUACAAUAUUAUGCUGAUGAAGGUGGUGCUUGGCAAGGUACCCAUUCAGAAGGUGGCAUUUGGAUGACUAUCUUUGGCCUUCUGAUGUGGGAUGUAAUGUUUUCGGACAUACAAGAUGUUUUCCAGUCUAAAUUCCAGAUGGCUCCCCUUGAUCUGGAAACAGAUGAUUUCUACAAAUCAAGAAAGGACCUUGCAGAAUCCCAGCUGAAGAAGAUACAAGAUGGGAUGGCUGAAGAGAUGCUUAUCAGUUCCUGGGAGCUGCAUCAGGGGACAUCCUGCCACGGCGUUAAUUGGGACCGUCAUUCCUUAACUGACUUACGGGCUGUUGUUGCAUGCAUUGGCGGCCAUAGCUUGGCGUUGCUCCUCCGCCAUCUAGCUGUUGAUUACGGAAGCUGGUCUAGUGGAAUGCCUGAUCUACUGCUAUGGCGUUUCCUUGAUGAAAGAGGGGGAGGUGAGGUUAAACUUGUGGAGGUCAAAGGACCAAGGGACCAGCUGUCAGAGCAACAGCGUGCAUGGAUUCUUCUUCUCAUGGAUUUUGGAUUUGAUGUGGAAGUUUGCAAAGUAAGCCCAGUUGUUAAGCGGAGAUAGCUCCCCUUUCAAAGUUGCACUUAGUGUAACAAUUUCAAUUUAUUGAUCAUUUAUGCAUCAGAUAAGCCUUUGAUUAAUUAGAAGAGCAAAACUGUAACAUGUUAACAGUGACAUUGUUUUUUUAAUGUCAACAGUGACAUUGUUUUUUUUAAA